AAAAAGCCCGCCAUGCGUCAGCAUCAGCGGGCUUCGUGCGGUACGACAGCGGUCGACUCGGGCCGGCUGCCGCCGGCCUUCGCUUUAGCUGUUUUGGGAUGAAGCCCCGCGUCCGCAAGCUGAAAUCAAAUCGACGCAAGGCCACAUCCUAUCACGCCUGUACGACGGCGUGC
Molecule: non-coding RNA, 173 nt
Organism: Burkholderia ubonensis
Lineage: Bacteria; Pseudomonadati; Pseudomonadota; Betaproteobacteria; Burkholderiales; Burkholderiaceae
Source: Rfam